This 401-nucleotide long non-coding RNA is filed under the name Lynx pardinus (Iberian lynx). Lineage: Eukaryota; Metazoa; Chordata; Mammalia; Carnivora; Felidae. The record is from RNAcentral.
UCGAACAGGCGCAGCGAGCGGCGAUAGCGCGCGCACGAGGCGGCCAGCACGGCGCGGGCCCCGAGCGCGCGCAGCGCCCCCAGCACCCCGCAGCGGGUCAGGUGCGCGGCGCGCGCCACGUCGGCCUCGCGCAAGUAGCGCGCGUUGUUCAUGUGCAGCAGCAGGUCCAAGUCCGAGGGCAGCACGCGGCCCGCGUAGCGUUGCUCGGCCAGCAGGUCGCGGACGCGCGGCUGCAGCAGGCGCGCGCGCAGCACGGCGCACGGCACGCGCACCAAGUACCAACCGUCCAGCAGCGCGAAGUAGACGAGCGCCAGGACCAGCGGCGCCACGAGCAGCCCCAGCAUCGCGGCGGCAGGCGCGGGGUGCGGCGGAACCCGCGGCGCCGGUGCCGACCGGGGCGC